CGCGGCGUGGAGCAGCGGUCAGCUCGCCCGGCUCAUACCCGGGAGGUCGCGGGUUCGAGUCCCGCCGCCGCUA
This 73-nucleotide transfer RNA is filed under the name Phycisphaerales bacterium. Its description in RNAcentral is "tRNA-Met". It matches the Rfam family "tRNA". From Rfam's summary of the family: Transfer RNA (tRNA) molecules are approximately 80 nucleotides in length. Their secondary structure includes four short double-helical elements and three loops (D, anti-codon, and T loops). The record is from RNAcentral. Lineage: Bacteria; Pseudomonadati; Planctomycetota; Phycisphaerae; Phycisphaerales.